CUACGGGGGGCAGCAGGCGGGAAACCUUUACAAUGCACGAAAGUGCGAUAAGGGGAAUCUAAGUGCUUGCCUACGGGUGAGCUUUUGUCAAGUGUAAAAAUCUUGACGAAUAAGUGGUGGGUAAGACCGGUGCCAGCAGCCGCGGUAACCCCGGCGCCACGAGUGGCAAUCGCGUUUAUUGGGCCUAAAGCGUCCGUAGCUGAUUUUCUCAGUCCUUUGUUAAAUCGUCUGGCUUAACCAGGCGGCCGCAAGGGAUACUAGAAGGUUAGGGAUCGGGAGGAGCCAGAAGUACUCCUUGGGUAGCGGUAAAAUGUGAUAAUCCUUGGAGGACUACCUGUGGCGAAGGCGUCUGGCUAGAACGAACCCGACAGUGAGGGACGAAAGCUAGGGGAGCAAAAGGGAUUAGAUACCCCUGUAGUC
Molecule: ribosomal RNA, 420 nt
Filed under: uncultured archaeon
Lineage: Archaea
Description: partial 16S ribosomal RNA
Rfam family: Archaeal small subunit ribosomal RNA
Source: RNAcentral